RNAcentral lists this ribosomal RNA (497 nucleotides) under uncultured bacterium. Its description in RNAcentral is "partial 16S ribosomal RNA". It matches the Rfam family "Bacterial small subunit ribosomal RNA", at positions 28 to 507 of the family's 1533-position model. The record is from RNAcentral.
GAUGAACGCUGGCGGCGUGCCUAAUACACGCAAGUCGAGCGAACAGACGAGGAGCUUGCUCCUCUGACGUUAGCGGCGGACGGGUGAGUAACACGUGGAUAACCUACCUAUAAGACUGGGAUAACUUCGGGAAACCGGAGCUAAUACCGGAUAAUAUAUUGAACCGCAUGGUUCAAUAGUGAAAGACGGUUUUGCUGUCACUUAUAGAUGGAUCCGCGCCGCAUUAGCUAGUUGGUAAGGUAACGGCUUACCAAGGCGACGAUGCGUAGCCGACCUGAGAGGGUGAUCGGCCACACUGGAACUGAGACACGGUCCAGACUCCUACGGGAGGCAGCAGUAGGGAAUCUUCCGCAAUGGGCGAAAGCUUGACGGAGCAACGCCGCGUGAGUGAUGAAGGUCUUCGGAUCGUAAAACUCUGUUAUUAGGGAAGAACAAAUGUGUAAGUAACUAUGCACGUCUUGACGGUACCUAAUCAGAAAGCCACGGCUAACUAUGUG